AUACCUUUCUCGGCCUUUUGGCUAAGAUCAAGUGUAGUAUCUGUUCUUAUCAGUUUAAUAUCUGAUAUGUAGGCCAUCGGCCUACUCGAUAUUAAUCUUAUUUUUUAUGGGGGAAGGCCCGUUACAGUAGCUUGCUGCUGGGGUUCUUCAUGCGUCGCCUUGGCCUUACACUACUGCCAAGGCCUGGCGCACCCCUC
Small nuclear RNA from Lactuca sativa (garden lettuce), 197 nucleotides. RefSeq annotates it as U2 spliceosomal RNA. The record is from RefSeq and is a predicted model, not a curated record. NCBI's taxonomy places the organism in Eukaryota, Viridiplantae, Streptophyta, Magnoliopsida, Asterales, Asteraceae.